Molecule: ribosomal RNA, 253 nt
Filed under: uncultured bacterium
Lineage: Bacteria
Description: partial 16S ribosomal RNA
Rfam family: Bacterial small subunit ribosomal RNA
Source: RNAcentral
UACAGAGGUGUCAAACGUUGUCCGGAAUUACUGGGCGUAAAGCGUGCGCAGGCGGUUUCGUAAGUCUGUCGUGAAAGCCCCGGGCUCAACCUGGGAAUUGCGAUGGAGACUGCGAGGCUAGAGUGUGUCAGAGGGGGGUAGAAUUCCACGUGUAGCAGUGAAAUGCGUAGAUAUGUGGAGGAACACCGAUGGCGAAGGCAGCCCCCUGGGAUAACACUGACGCUCAUGCACGAAAGCGUGGGGAGCAAACAGG